UUCCGGUUGAUCCUGCCGGAGGCCAUUGCUAUGGGGAUCCGAUUUAGCCAUGCUAGUCGUACGAGUUCACACUCGUGGCAGAUAGCUCAGUAACACGUGGCCAAACUACCCUCUGGACCGGAAUACCCUCGGGAAACUGAGGCUAAUUCCGGAUACCACUCGGUGCCUGGAAGGGCCCGAGAUCGAAACGCUCCGGCGCCAGAGGCUGUGGCUGCGGCCGAUUAGGUAGACGGUGGGGUAACGGCCCACCGUGCCUAUAAUCGGUACGGGUUGUGAGAGCAAGAGCCCGGAGACGGUAUCUGAGACAAGAUACCGGGCCCUACGGGGCGCAGCAGGCGCGAAACCUUUACACUGCGCGAGAGCGCGAUAAGGGGAUUCCGAGUGCGAGGACAUAGAGUCCUCGCUUUUGUACACCGUAAAGUGGUGUACGAAUAAGGGCUGGGCAAGACCGGUGCCAGCCGCCGCGGUAAUACCGGCAGCCCAAGUGAUGGCCAAUAUUAUUGGGCCUAAAGCGUCCGUAGCCGGCCGAACAGGUCCAUCGGGAAAUCCACCCGCCUAACGGGUGGGCGUCCGGUGGAAACCGUUCGGCUUGGGGCCGGAAGAUCCGAGGGGUACGUCCGGGGUAGGAGUGAAAUCCUGUAAUCCUGGACGGACCGCCGGUGGCGAAAGCGCCUCGGAAGGACGGACCCGACGGUGAGGGACGAAAGCUGGGAUCUCGAACCGGAUUAGAUACCCGGGUAGUCCCAGCCGUAAACGAUGCCCGCUAGGUGUGACGCAGGCUACGGGCCUGCGCUGUGCCGUAGGGAAGCCGUGAAGCGGGCCGCCUGGGAAGUACGUCUGCAAGGAUGAAACUUAAAGGAAUUGGCGGGGGAGCACUACAACCGGAGGAGCCUGCGGUUUAAUUGGAGUCAACGCCGGG
RNAcentral lists this ribosomal RNA (919 nucleotides) under uncultured archaeon. Its description in RNAcentral is "bacterial SSU rRNA". It matches the Rfam family "Archaeal small subunit ribosomal RNA", at positions 1 to 922 of the family's 1478-position model. The record is from RNAcentral.